AUUGAACGCUGGCGGCAGGCCUAACACAUGCAAGUCGGACGGUAGCACAGAGGAGCUUGCUCCUUGGGUGACGAGUGGCGGACGGGUGAGUAAUGUCUGGGGAUCUGCCCGAUAGAGGGGGAUAACCACUGGAAACGGUGGCUAAUACCGCAUAACGUCGCAAGACCAAAGAGGGGGACCUUCGGGCCUCUCACUAUCGGAUGAACCCAGAUGGGAUUAGCUAGUAGGCGGGGUAAUGGCCCACCUAGGCGACGAUCCCUAGCUGGUCUGAGAGGAUGACCAGCCACACUGGAACUGAGACACGGUCCAGACUCCUACAGGAGGCAGCAGUGGGGAAUAUUGCACAAUGGGCGCAAGCCUGAUGCAGCCAUGCCGCGUGUAUGAAGAAGGCCUUCGGGUUGUAAAGUACUUUCAGCGGGGAGGAAGGCGACGCGGUUAAUAACCGCGUCGAUUGACGUUACCCGCAGAAGAAGCACCGGCUAACUCCGUGCCAGCAGCCGCAGUAA
This 506-nucleotide ribosomal RNA is filed under the name uncultured bacterium. RNAcentral describes it as "partial 16S ribosomal RNA". It matches the Rfam family "Bacterial small subunit ribosomal RNA", at positions 29 to 523 of the family's 1533-position model. The record is from RNAcentral.